This 267-nucleotide ribosomal RNA is filed under the name uncultured bacterium. RNAcentral describes it as "partial 16S ribosomal RNA". It matches the Rfam family "Bacterial small subunit ribosomal RNA", at positions 793 to 1055 of the family's 1533-position model. The record is from RNAcentral.
GUCCACGCCGUAAACGAUGGGCACUUGGUGUCGCGGGUAUCGACCCCUGCGGUGCCGAAGCUAACGCAUUAAGUGCCCCGCCUGGGGAGUACGGUAGCAAGGCUGAAACUCAAAGGAAUUGACGGGGGGCCCCGCACAAGCGGUGGAGCAUGUGGUUCAAUUCGAAGCAACGCGAAGAACCUUACCUGGGUUUGAAGAUCAGUGGAACGGGGGCGAAAUCUCCAUUCCCCGCAAGGGGCCGCUGGUUAGGUGCUGCAUGGCUGUCGU